UACGAAGGGGGCUAGCGUUGUUCGGAAUUACUGGGCGUAAAGCGCACGUAGGCGGACAUUUAAGUCAGGGGUGAAAUCCCGGGGCUCAACCCCGGAACUGCCUUUGAUACUGGGUGUCUGGAGUCCGGAAGAGGUGAGUGGAAUUCCGAGUGUAGAGGUGAAAUUCGUAGAUAUUCGGAGGAACACCAGUGGCGAAGGCGGCUCACUGGUCCGGUACUGACGCUGAGGUGCGAAAGCGUGGGGAGCAAACGGG
RNAcentral lists this ribosomal RNA (253 nucleotides) under uncultured bacterium. RNAcentral's name for it is "partial 16S ribosomal RNA". It matches the Rfam family "Bacterial small subunit ribosomal RNA", at positions 524 to 776 of the family's 1533-position model. The record is from RNAcentral.